AAUGUUUGACGCUGUUGACUUUUUAGCACAUGUUUGACCGUUCGUCUUAUUCAAAAAAUUUAAGUAAUUAUUAAUUUUUUUCCUGUCAUUUGAUUCAUUGUUAAAUAUAUUUUUAUGUAGGCAUACGAUUUUACAUAUUUCACAAAAGUUUUUGAAGAAGACGAACGGUCAAAUAUGUGCUAAAAAAUCAAUGGUGUCAAAUAUU
This 205-nucleotide microRNA precursor is filed under the name Oryza meridionalis. RNAcentral's name for it is "MIR812 microRNA precursor family". It matches the Rfam family "MIR812 microRNA precursor family". Lineage: Eukaryota; Viridiplantae; Streptophyta; Magnoliopsida; Poales; Poaceae. The record is from Rfam by way of RNAcentral.